Molecule: long non-coding RNA, 917 nt
Filed under: Salmo salar (Atlantic salmon)
Lineage: Eukaryota; Metazoa; Chordata; Actinopteri; Salmoniformes; Salmonidae
Description: lncRNA (ENSSSAG00000088859.1)
Source: RNAcentral
AGCUGACCUAUCAUGGAGGAGCAGGAUGAUGAUGUAGCUGACCUAUCAUGGAGGAGCAGGGUGAUGAUGUAACUGACCUAUCAUGGAGGAGCAGGGUGAUGAUGUAGCUGACCAAUCAUGGAGGAGCAGGAUGAUGAUGUAGCUGACCUAUCAUGGAUGAGCAGGAUGAUGAUGUAGCUGACCUAUCAUGGAGGAGCUGAAUGAUGUAGCUGACCUAUCAUGGAGGAGAGGGGUGAUGAUGUAGCUGACCUAUCAUGGAGGAGCAGGAUAAUGAUGAAGCUGACCUGUCAUGGAGGAGCAGGGGUGAUGAUGUAGCUGACCUAUCAUGGAGGAGCAGGGGAGAUGAUGUAGCUGACCUAUCAUGGAGGAGCAGGAGUGAUGAUGUAGCUGACCUAUCGUGGAGGAGCAGGAUGAUGAUGUAGCUGACCUAUCAUGGAGGAGCAGGGGUGAAAAUGUAGCUGACCUAUCAUGGAGGAGCAGGGGUGGUGAUGUAGCUGACCUAUCAUGUAGGACCAGGAUGAUGUAGCUGACCUUUCAUGGAGGAGCAGGAUGAUGUAGCUGACCUAUCAUGGUGGAGCAGGGUGAUGAUGUAGCUGACCUAUCAUGGAGGAGCAGGAUGAUGAUGUAGCUGACCUAUCAUGGAGGAGCAGGGGUGAUGAUGUAGCUGACCUAUCAUGGAAGAGCAGGGUGAUGAUGUAGCUGACCUAUCAUGGAGGAGCAGGCUGAUGAUGUAGCUGACCUAUCAUGGAGGAGCAGGAUGAUGAUGUAGCUGACCUAUCAUGGAGGAGCAGGAGUGAUGAUGUAGCUGACCUAUCAUGGAGGAGCAGGGGUGAUGAUGUAGCUGACCUAUCAGGGAGGAGCAGGAUGAUGAUGUAGCUGACCUAUCAUGGAGGAGCAGGGGUGAUGAUGUAGCUGAC